This 497-nucleotide ribosomal RNA is filed under the name uncultured bacterium. RNAcentral's name for it is "partial 16S ribosomal RNA". It matches the Rfam family "Bacterial small subunit ribosomal RNA", at positions 28 to 507 of the family's 1533-position model. The record is from RNAcentral.
GAUGAACGCUGGCGGCGUGCCUAAUACAUGCAAGUCGAGCGAACGGACGAGAAGCUUGCUUUUUUGAUGUUAGCGGCGGACGGGUGAGUAACACGUGGAUAACCUACCUAUAAGACUGGGAUAACUUCGGGAAACCGGAGCUAAUACCGGAUAAUAUUUUGAACCGCAUGGUUCAAAAGUGAAAGACGGUCUUGCUGUCACUUAUAGAUGGAUUCGCGCUGCAUUAGCUAGUUGGUAAGGUAACGGCUUACCAAGGCAACGAUGCAUAGCCGACAUGAGAGGGUGAUCGGCCACACUGGAACUGAGACACGGUCCAGACUCCUACGGGAGGCAGCAGUAGGGAAUCUUCCGCAAUGGGCGAAAGCCUGACGUAGCAACGCCGCGUGAGUGAUGAAGGUCUUCGGAUCGUAAAACUCUGUUAUUAGGGAAGAACAUAUGUGUAAGUAACUGUGCACAUCUUGACGGUACCUAAUCAGAAAGCCACGGCUAACUACGUG